CACCGCGGUUAUACGAGAGACUCAAGUUGUUAGUCAUCGGCGUAAAGAGUGGUUAAGAUAAGACAAAAACUAAAACUAAAGCCGAAUGCCCUCAGGGCUGUUAUAAGCGCUACGAAGGUAAGAAGCUCAACGACGAAAGUGGCUUUACCCAAUCUGAACCCACGAAAGCUAGGAAA
Molecule: ribosomal RNA, 176 nt
Filed under: Heniochus chrysostomus (threeband pennantfish)
Lineage: Eukaryota; Metazoa; Chordata; Actinopteri; Chaetodontiformes; Chaetodontidae
Description: partial 12S rRNA
Source: RNAcentral